AAAUGCGAAAAAUGUAUUACAAAAUGCGUUCAAGAAUGUUAUCACAAAAUGCGGCGUUAUUACAUAAUAAUGUGAAAAUAUAUAACAUUAUUACAUAUUGCACCAUUAUGACAUAACACACUACAGGGUUACUUACUGGAAUGUCUUGCUUUAUUAAUGGCGUUGGGACCAUGGGGUUGUAUUGUGUGUGUCCAAACUUUUGGCCUAUACUGUACAGAAUAUGUAAUUUUUGUAGUUUUUUGUAGUUUUUUUUAUAGAACUUGUGGAAUGGUACACAGCAAAUUGAGGAGUGUUUUUUGGUGUUGAUGAGAAUCUUGAAGUUGGAGUGUCACUCUUACACUAUUUGGAGUUGAUCUAACACUGCAUUUUCUUAUAAAAUGUUAAAUUUAACGCUGGAUCAUGAAAGUGUUGUAGUUAAAAUGGAGUGUUGAAAAUGUUCAAAUCUUGUUAGUGUCACAAUAAAGACAUUCAACACUUCCACACUCCAUUUAACGCCUAACAGUGUUCACGUGUCUUAAGCUCCGCCCACGGACAUUUCAUUUAGACUCCACCCCUCACUUCACGUUGCUGAUGGAAGAAGUUGACAAUUAGGAAUCAUUUUGCAUCAGUAGUGUUGCUGUGAGCUGAAUAGGCACUGCCUGUGCAACAUUUGGCAAAGUAAGUGAACGCUACGUUAUAUCUUCAUUUUUAAUGAGCUAAUGGCUAACUAGCUAAUUAGCUAAUUGGCACGAGGAGCCCCCACAGUAGGCCUGCUGGCCCACAGCAAAGGACUUGAUAUGCUGUACAGGAUACAAGAUAUCAAGAAAACCUUUCCUUGAGUCUUACAUGAAUGUGAGGUGGAUGGAGAUGUCUUUGAUGAGCUCGUCAAGUCAGGUGUUUUGACUUUCAAGGUCCUUUUAUCAGUGACAGAGUAAGAGAUUCAUUUGACUGGAGAUGAAGCAGACUUCACUAUCCCCAGCUUCACCCCAGUUAUCGCCAGUUGGUGGCAAUAACAGGUUCGACAAUUCAUCCUUCAGCCCACAAGAAAGAGGAACCCAACAGAACCAAUAGAUCAGGAUGAAUCAAGACAGAAAGUCAGUGGUGUUUUGAGGGCCAAUCCGAAAGAUACGAUGGAGCUGCACGGGUCACUUCCCCCUUCCCAUUAGAACAGUCAUUCCAGACUGUCAUCAACUGCAGUAAGACCAUGUACUGUGGGAAUGGUUCUAUCUGUGAUCAUUAACGAUGACGUGUUUGGAAAGGAGGGUUCCACCAUCAUGUGUGAUGACAAAUUACACCCGGAGAAUUGUGACUUGUUUUCCAUACGUCAAAGAUCCAUUCUCCAAACCUAGAUAUGUAAGUGUCUUUUCAAUGUAAAACCCAAAGUACUGUUUUUGUUUUUCCUUUAGGUGUGUAGUUUGUAUUAAACUCUUGUUUCAAAUAUGUUCAUAGUUAGCUUAGCUUAGCGGCAGUGGCUCGGGAGGUAGAGCAGGUCGUCCAGAAAUCGUAAGGUUGGUUGGAUCCUUGCUCCCUCCACCCAGUCACUGUUGUGUCCUACACUUCUCCUGGCUCUCAAAGUUGUUCCAAGACUGUUUCUUCAGGAUGGUCCAAAAACCAGAGGAGAACAUCUGUUAACUGGUCAACAGCUGCUUGGUGAGGAGUGCAGGGAGGCACUAUCUACAAUAAGACAUUCAACUGAUGAAUCCGUGGUCAAAGAAGAUGAGAGCAACUUUCCAGUAUCGACAGAAUAUGAUCCAAGCACAAGAUGUAUCAUCGCCUGUCCUCAGUGUGUUCCCUCGCUUCCUUGAUGUUCCUGGAUUGAUUGACCAGGAUUUCUCAAUGAUGUUUGCUGAUGAAGUAUCUCAGAGGUUCCUGGCUAAGUGGUCAACUGUCUUCAAAGCAAAAGUCAUUGCAGACUGCAAGACUCUCCCGCAAAAGCGAUGAGUUGCUGUCAGGAACUGAACCUCAACCUGAUGACAGCUGUGGCUGGGGCAGUGAUACAUCCUCCAUCCUUCUACUCCUGCAUCUGCUCCCUCCCACUUCUAGAGGCCAGGAAAAAAAACAGCAAAGAUCAGUUUGGCUCAAGCAGCCAACCAUCUUCUCAGACAUCUUAAGGAAGGAGCCAGUGUGACCCCCUUCCAAGACUGUUGACACAAGACAACCAUUUCUCCUCUGCAUCAGUGAGCGAAGGUGACAUCCAGAGGUUCUACAUUAUUAUUGACCAAAAGCCGGUUCCAUGCAAGGCACAUACAUUUAUUGCAGCUUUUGAUGAACUGUUCAAAGCUCACUAUGUCUUCAGUCUCUCGUAUGGUUAAAAGUGGAUAAGAGCAAACAUUUGGGUCUGAAUGCUGCCCAGUCAUGGUGUCUUCUAUGUAGCACUCCACUUAUAUUUGGUGAUGUCAUUGAAAGGAAUAAUGAUCACUGGAACUUGCUCCUCCUUUUGAUGCAGAUUGUCAACAUAGUGUUCUCCUACAGCAUAACUGAUGGAAUGAUCCUUUACUUGAAACAUCUGAUGAGUGACCACCACACUUGGUACAAAGCAUUGCUACCUGGUAAGAAGUUGAUUCCCAAGCACCGCUUGAUGAUACACUAUCCAAGAUGCAUACAAAACAUUGGCCCUCUUAUCCAUACGUGGUGCAUGUGUUUUGAAGCCAAACACAAUUUUUUCAAAAGGCGUGGUUAAAAUUUUUAAAAAUCUCAGUCGUUUGUCGUGGCCUUCACUAUGAAAAUAAUUAUUUUAGAAGAUUUGCAUUUGGCCCUACAACAUCAAAAACAAUCUGCAACUUGAAAGGAGGGGAGGAACGUGGUCAGGUAUGUCUGCAAGCAUCUUCCAAGUGUGUCAAGUACCAACUGGGUGAGAAGUUACGGUAUAGAGCACCACGUUGGUGUGUUCAUAUGUACUGGAUGUAGCUUUGAUCUACCUGUGUUCAAGAAGAUCUGUGAUAUAAUAAAGCACAAAGAAUGUGCUUUCAUAAUAGCUGUAAUGUAGAAACUAUGUACUAUGAGGACCUGUUUAACGCGUACUGCAUAGAAGACCAAAUGCUUGAGUUUUCUGUCAUGUUUAAAUGAACUGACUCAUUUCAGACCAUUUGACAAGCAGUGCUCUAAUGACAGUUGUCAAAGAGCAUACAUACUGUAGUGCCUGCUGUUAUUUAAGCUACUGUCUGUUGGAAAUGAAAUGUUUUUGAAUAAAAUGUAUGAAGCCGUCAA
Long non-coding RNA from Dunckerocampus dactyliophorus (ringed pipefish), 3186 nucleotides. RefSeq lists it as uncharacterized. Lineage: Eukaryota; Metazoa; Chordata; Actinopteri; Syngnathiformes; Syngnathidae. The transcript has 10 exons. The record is from RefSeq and is a predicted model, not a curated record.